GUCCUAGUUACCAGCACGUUAUCGGUGGGCACUCUAAGGAGACUGCCGGUGGCAACCGAGGAAGUGGGGAUGACGUCAAGUCAUCAUGGCCCUUACGGCCUGGGCUACACACGUGCUACAAUGGUCGGUACAAAGGGUUGCCAAGCCGCGAGGUGGAGCUAAUCCCAUAAAACCGAUCGUAGUCCGGAUCGCAGUCUGCAACUCGACUGCGUGAAGUCGGAAUCGCUAGUAAUCGUGAAUCAGAAUGUCACGGUGAAUACGUUCCCGGGCCUU
This 273-nucleotide ribosomal RNA is filed under the name uncultured Pseudomonas sp. Its description in RNAcentral is "partial 16S ribosomal RNA". It matches the Rfam family "Bacterial small subunit ribosomal RNA", at positions 1107 to 1382 of the family's 1533-position model. Lineage: Bacteria; Pseudomonadati; Pseudomonadota; Gammaproteobacteria; Pseudomonadales; Pseudomonadaceae. The record is from RNAcentral.